RNAcentral lists this ribosomal RNA (585 nucleotides) under uncultured Geobacter sp. RNAcentral describes it as "bacterial SSU rRNA". It matches the Rfam family "Bacterial small subunit ribosomal RNA", at positions 9 to 571 of the family's 1533-position model. Lineage: Bacteria; Pseudomonadati; Thermodesulfobacteriota; Desulfuromonadia; Geobacterales; Geobacteraceae. The record is from RNAcentral.
GAGUUUGAUCCUGGUUCAGAACGAACGCUGGCGGCGUGCCUAACACAUGCAAGUCGAACGGAGGUAAGGAGCUUGCUCCUUACUUUAGUGGCGCACGGGUGAGUAACGCGUAGAUAAUCUGCCUGAUGAUCUGGGAUAACACUUCGAAAGGGGUGCUAAUACCGGAUAAGCCCACGGGGUCUUUGGAUUCUGCGGGAAAAGGGGGGGACCUUCGGGCCUUCUGUCAUCAGAUGAGUCUGCGUACCAUUAGCUAGUUGGUAGGGUAAUGGCCUACCAAGGCUACGAUGGUUAGCUGGUUUGAGAGAAUGAUCAGCCACACUGGAACUGAGACACGGUCCAGACUCCUACGGGAGGCAGCAGUGGGGAAUUUUGCGCAAUGGGCGAAAGCCUGACGCAGCAACGCCGCGUGAGUGAUGAAGGCUUUCGGGUCGUAAAGCUCUGUCAAUGGGAAAGAAGUGUAUUAUGGCUAAUAUCCAUGAUACUUGACGGUACCCAUAAAGGAAGCACCGGCUAACUCCGUGCCAGCAGCCGCGGUAAUACGGGGGGUGCAAGCGUUGUUCGGAAUUAUUGGGCGUAAAGAGCGUG